UACGUGCACUCCGAUUCGAAAGCCCGACGAUGUGCUACCCUCCGGGCCGUUGUUGACGCGGUUAAUCGAGGCGGAAAAAUCGAUUGUGUUCGUGUGAUUAUUUUUGUUUUGGUUGCGGCCUCUCGCCCCCGUAAUCACCGCGCGGCCUCGGCCACAUGACUCAUGCCAGGCAGCAACAAUGAAAAACCACAAUAAGUACGCCAAGUUACCCCAAGACCUCGAUCUGAGUUUCCGCAGUGAUUUGGACCUGCUGCCGGACACAGCGGCCGACAUCGACGUUGAUCUGGACGCGGAUGUGGCCGCUCUCGGUGUGAACGUGCCCGCGUCUCUGGGCCUCGACGAGGACUACGACGAGGAGGUAAUCGUCGCCUCAGGCGGAGGAGGUCUUCGACUAGCCCCCACGGCGGCGGAGGCAGCGGAGGCCCGCAAGCAGCCGCAGCAGCGCCGGCAGCGGAAGAACCAGCUGGAGCAGGAAAUCACGGCCAAAGGCAAAAUCUGCGGCCUGGGCAGCGACAGCGUCAUCGAGACGGGUCUAACCCUCACACCCGAAAUGUUGUUAUCCACCUCGGAAUCAUCGACCCACAGCGCCUCCGAGGUCGCAGGUCGCCUGCAGGUCGACGUGCGGACCGGCCUCAAAUGGACGGAAGCUAAGUACCGUGCCAAGAUUAUCGGGCACAACGAGCUGCUCCUCGUCGCAGAGGACCCAACCUGGAAGAAGUAUAUUGAGCAGUUCAAGAACCCGCUCAUUCUGCUGCUCCUUGGUUCAGCCCUGGUGUCCGUGAUCAUGAAGCAAUUUGACGACGCCGUGAGCAUAACUAUUGCCAUCCUGAUCGUCGUCACGGUGGCCUUUAUUCAGGAGUACCGCUCUGAGAAGAGCCUGGAGGAGCUGAAGAAACUGGUGCCACCCGAGUGUCACUGCCUGCGCGAAAGUCGUUUGGACACUUUCCUAGCACGCGAACUGGUCCCCGGGGACAUCGUGCACCUUAACGUGGGCGACAGGGUGCCCGCCGACGUUCGCCUUUUCGAGGCCGUGGACCUGUCUAUCGACGAGAGCAGCUUUACCGGUGAAACGGAGCCUGCUCGCAAGAUUACUGACGUCCUGCUCAACAACACGAACGUAAAGGACCACAGCAACAUGAAGAACAUAGCUUUUAUGGGCACUCUGGUGCGGUGUGGCAAUGGUAAAGGCAUCGUUGUCAGCACUGGGGAGCGCAGCGAGUUCGGCGAGGUCUUCAAGAUGAUGCAGGCGGAGGAGGCUCCGAAGACGCCGCUGCAGAAGUCUAUGGACAUCCUGGGCGCCCAGUUGAGCUUCUACUCCUUUCUGAUAAUCGGCGUCAUCAUGCUACUCGGCUGGUUGCAGGGCAAGCCUCUCUCAGAGAUGUUCAACAUCAGUGUAUCGCUGGCCGUGGCGGCCAUUCCCGAGGGCCUGCCGAUCGUAGUGACAGUCACCUUAGCGCUUGGCGUGAUGCGGAUGGCUAAGCGGAACUCUAUCGUAAAGAAGCUGCCUACUGUUGAGACCCUUGGCUGCGUGAAUGUCAUCUGCUCUGACAAGACAGGCACCUUGACCAAGAACGAGAUGACGGCCACGAUCAUCAUCACUUCAGACGGGUACAUGGCGGACGUAACCGGCGCAGGCUACAACGACCAGGGAGAGAUCCACAUUCGGCACUGCAACAACGUGGAGAUGGCCAAGACCAAUAUUACAAACCUCCUGGAAAUCGGGGCGGUCUGCAACAACGCGUACAUCCAAAACGGUACCUUGUUAGGACAGCCAACUGAGGGAGCUCUCGUGGCGGUGGCCAUGAAGAACGGCAUGUACGCCACAGCAGAGAACUACGUUCGCAUCCAGGAGUACCCUUUCAGUUCGGAACAGAAAAUGAUGGCUGUCAAGUGCAUUCACAAAUACAACAACAACAAGGAGGAGAUUUUCUUUGCCAAGGGGGCCCUAGAAACGCUCCUCCCACAGUGCACCAAGUACCAGUUCGGCACCCAGUCGGUACCACUAACCAAGCAGAACGAGGCAGAGUUCCUAGCCGAGGCGUACGAGAUCGGGCGGAAGGGCCUUCGGGUGCUGGCACUGGCCAAAGGCCGGUCCAUGCAGGAUCUGAUCUACUGCGGCCUUGUCGGCAUUACCGACCCACCGAGGCCCCUUGUGCGGGAGUCCAUCGAGAUGCUGAUGCAGAGCGGAGUGCGGGUUAAGAUGGUGACUGGAGAUGCCCAGGAAACGGCCUUGGCCAUCGCGAAUCUCAUAGGCAUCGAUACAAUUCACCACCAGACUCUGUCCGGUCAGGAGAUCGAUCAAAUGAACGAGCACCAACUGGACAAAGUGGCCAACAAUGUGAGUGUCUUCUACCGAGUAUCGCCACGCCACAAGCUGGAGAUAGUCAAGUCCCUGCAGCGCACCGGCAACAUAGUCGGCAUGACUGGCGACGGUGUGAACGACGGAGUGGCUCUAAAGAAGGCGGACAUCGGCAUUGCAAUGGGGAAAAACGGGACGGAUGUAUGCAAGGAGGCUGCAGACAUGAUUUUGGUCAAUGACGAUUUCCACACCAUAAUCGCCGCCAUCGAGGAGGGUAAGGGCAUCUUCUACAACAUCCGGAAUUUUGUGCGCUUCCAGCUGAGCACAUCAAUUGCCGCCCUGGCGCUCAUAGCUUUGGCCACUCUGAUGGACAUUGCCAAUCCCCUUAACGCCAUGCAGAUUCUAUGGAUCAACAUCAUAAUGGAUGGUCCGCCCGCCCAGUCUUUGGGCGUAGAGCCCGUGGACCACGAUGUUCUUAAGCAGAAACCGCGAAACGUUAAGCAACCAAUGAUUACCAAGUCUGUGGUGGUGAACGUUCUGCUCAGUGCCAGCAUAAUAGUGCUGGGCACGCUUUGGGUGUUUCAGCGCGAGAUGGCCGACGGCACGUUAGGAAAGACCAAGCGUGACACGACCAUGACCUUCACUUGCUUUGUAUUCUUCGACAUGUUCAAUGCGCUUUCCUGCCGCUCGCAGACAAAAAGCGUGUUCACCAUCGGGCUGACCACCAACCGCAUGUUCCUGCUAGCCGUCGCCUUCUCUAUUAUUGGACAAAUGCUGGUCGUCUACUUUCCACCGCUGCAGAUGGUUUUUCAGACGGAAGCCCUUAGGCCAUACGACAUCUUCUUCCUGGUGUCCCUCACCUCUUCGGUUUUGGUUGUCUCCGAGAUUAAGAAAUGGUUCGAGCGCACCAUGGAGCGAAAGAUGUACAGCACCCGCUCCGAGCUGGACUUUGUAUGACAAAAAGCAAGCGCUAGAGAAGAUGUGCACUGCAAAGCCGAGUAAAUUAAAUAACUAAACAAAAACCCAUAAAAAAAUCAAAACUAUGCCAAAACAAGCGAGAAGCGCGGCGAAGAACAGCCACAGAGACGCAAAAGGCGGAACAGGAGCAAGGGAGCAGCGAUGUGUGUGUUUACUUUUAUAUUUGAUUCGACCAAUAAGCAAUCAUUUAAUCGGCAAUGUGGGUUUCGACCAGACCGAGCGAAACAGGAAUUUUCAUAGAUUUUAACGAUGCAACUGGAAACCGGUUACUUGAUUUGGUUGAAUCCGACAAAGUCCUACAGGCAAAUACAGAUUAAUCUAGGUAUCCGUCAACACAAAUGGAAAUAAUGGAUGUGAGUUAAGGAAGGCAAGAAAAGGACAUAGCAAGGCGUAGUUAAAUAAAACAUGGUUUUUGUUUUGGUAACAUUGUUAUAUAACUUAUUCGGUAUUUGAGAAGCAUACACUCAAUUUGUGUAUCUUAAAUGAACGCAAAUUGAAACUCUAGCGCGCUAGCAAUUUCUCCAUUGAAACAUUAAAUGGAGAGUCAAGAUUCAGCUAUGGAACAUUUUACAUUUUAAAACAUUCGAUCGAAAUUGUUCUUGUUUUGAACAGGUUUUUCUACAUAGAAUAGAACUAAAGCACUAUGCCAAUUGCAAAAUGUCACAGGGCGAACUGCACGCGAUUACUCAAAUGUUAAGUAAUUUAUCGAAUUACGAGCGUAUAUUUAAUUCAAGUGUUUAUUCUUAGAAUAGCUUGAAGAUGUGUAGUUUAAAAUUUCAGUUUUGGGGUUAAAUUUAAUGCAGAUGCAAUACCGCCAUUAAACGACAUAUACCAAUGCAACGUAUCUUGCGAAUUGUAAUCAAAAGUAUGCAUCUCAUUAGUCAAUUAAUGCAUUUUUAAUACAUAUAAAGAAAUAUCCCAAGAUUUAUAAAAACUAUACAACUAAACUCUUAAAUAUCAUUGACAUUCGAUUCAUAUCAUAACUCAGAGAAAGAACCCAUGAAAGGCAUUUUCACACGUAGAACCACAGUUUAAUUAUGCACCGGUGCAUAUCACAGUUGUCGCUGCUUUCGAUCAAUAAACUAUAAAAGCAUUCGUCAUAAUUCACAAUUUUUUGAGUGUAAUUUAUUUUUGUGCCACACUGCAAUUAAUGGACCAAUAAAGAAAUUAUUUAUUUAAACACACACACACAGUAAGGUCAGGCUUAGCUCGUCAGAGAAACGCUCUCAUAUAUCAAGGCAAGAAAAAAAAAGAAAAAUUUGAAAAAAAAAGGAACAUUUCAUAUCAACCUUACUUCUCCAUUUUUCUAAAUCACAACGUACUUCGCUUACCAUUAUUCUCCUUGUACCUAUUUUGACAAUACUACCACUUUUAAUGGAAGGCAUUAUGAGUCAAGUGCAUCUUCAUUAUAUUUUCAAGACUUCUAUCUGCUCUCUUUUGCCUCAUAAAACCCUUUAUUUAUCCAUGGAAAGAUUAAACAAUGCAAAUUGUGUUCCUUUUGGAUGAAAUAAUACUUUUAUUUUCAACUUUUACGCGGCUAUACUGUGAAAGAGUAAAAAAUUGAUAUGUGGGUAAUUAUUGGGAGAGAAGUGCGUUACAAUAAACUAAUGCCCUUAAAAAAUGGAUGGCGAGGUCGAUAUAAAGCGUACCAAAUAUAAAAAAGGAAAAAUUAGAAUGGAAAAAGCUCGAUCAACAGAGCAAACAAUCAUCGGCUCAUUAAAAUUACCCACGCAUAAUGAUAUACUAUUAGUACUCGUACACUAUACAUAAAAACACAAAUUUACACAUCCAUUCUCAUUCACUCACAUCUCAUCCACAAUGGUAACAAUAACUAGAAAAUUAAGCGUAAUGAGAAACUUAAUAUCUAAAGGAAGAUAAAUAGUGCACCAAAUAAUAUGCAUACACCUAAUAGUCAAAACAGGUAUAAUUAAAUAUAUAAAAAUUAAACUUAAUUACUCAAUGUUGUGUAUGUAAGGAAUGCCCAGAAUCAGUCCUUGCAAUAUUCAAUAAUUUAUAAUGAUUGAUUAUACUAAACGAGCUAUUAACCACAGGAAUAUUCAUGACUGUCCAUGAAUAAUACACGUAAAUGUAAAUGUCUAACAAUGCCGGCUGAUUCUAUAGCUCCAGAAGUAUGUAGCCUGAUUUCAUUAUUCACUCAAUUAUAUUUCCAAUAGAGUUCGGUUAAUUAAAAUGUACAAACUAAUGGCAAACUAACAAGUUCGUAAAAUACUACAUGGAAAAAAGCUUAACAUAAAAAUAACUAUACCUAUCUGUGCUAUUAAAUGUAAGCUUUAAAGUAUUUACAUAUAAAUAUUUAAAUGCCACUAUUAACUACACAUUCAUAUUUCCGAAAUUUUUAAAGGAUUACCCCAAAGCACUAGACAUAAUUUAAAUUGCACUGUCAUCGUUGUUUUAUUGUACCCAUCUCUUAGCAAUGUUGAACUAAGCAAAAGAAUUUAAUUUAUGAUUUCCUAAAUUUUAUAUUGAAAAUCGUAAAAAUUAAAUUAAUUAAGCAACGGUAACAAUACUAAUAUAUUAAAUAUUUAUCUGUGGAAUAUCGCGAAACAAAUAUUUACUGAAUAUAAUAAACAUUAUGUAGUAAAUACA
Drosophila biarmipes is the source of this 5884-nucleotide RNA transcript. It is a transcript of the gene named calcium-transporting ATPase type 2C member 1, with no coding region annotated. The record is from RefSeq and is a predicted model, not a curated record. The transcript has 5 exons. Lineage: Eukaryota; Metazoa; Arthropoda; Insecta; Diptera; Drosophilidae.